AAGUCUCUGGUUGAUCCUGCCGGACCCGACUGCUAUCAGAGUGGGACUAAGCCAUGCGAGUCAACGUAGCAAUGCGUGGCGAACGGCUCAGUAACACGUAGUCAACAUGCCCAGGGGACGUGGAUAACCUCGGGAAACUGAGAUUAAACCGCGAUAGGUCAAGAUUUCUGGAAUGGAUCGUGUCUUAAAUCUACAUGGCCCCUGGAUUGGACUGCGGCCGAUCAGGCUGUUGGUGAGGUAAUGGCCCACCAAACCUAUAACCGGUACGGGCUCUGAGAGGAGAAGCCCGGAGAUGGGCACUGAGACAAGGGCCCAGGCCCUAUGGGGCGCAGCAGGCGCGAAACCUCUGCAAUGGGCGAAAGCCUGACAGGGUUACUCUGAGUGAUUUCCGCUAAGGAGAUCUUUUGGCAGCUCUAAAAAUGGUGCAGAAUAAGGGGUGGGCAAGUCUGGUGUCAGCCGCCGCGGUAAUACCAGCACCCCGAGUGGUCGGGACGAUUAUUGGGCCUAAAGCAUCCGUAGCCGGUUGUGCAAGUCCUCCGUUAAAUCCAGCCGCUCAACGGAUGGGCUGCGGAGGAUACUACAGGACUAGGAGGCGGGAGAGGCAAGCGGUACUUAGUGGGUAGGGGUAAAAUCCUUUGAUCCAUUGAAGACCACCAGUGGCGAAGGCGGCUUGCCAGAACGCGCUCGACGGUGAGGGAUGAAAGCUGGGGGAGCAAACCGGAUUAGAUACCCGGGUAGUCCCAGCUGUAAACGAUGCAGACUCGGUGAUGGGCUAGCCUCGUGUCAGCCCAGUGCCGCAGGGAAGCCGUUAAGUCUGCCGCCUGGGGAGUACGGUCGCAAGACUGAAACUUAAAGGAAUUGGCGGGGGAGCACCACAGGGGUGAAGCCUGCGGUUUCAUUGGACUCAA
RNAcentral lists this ribosomal RNA (908 nucleotides) under uncultured archaeon. RNAcentral's name for it is "bacterial SSU rRNA". It matches the Rfam family "Archaeal small subunit ribosomal RNA", at positions 1 to 915 of the family's 1478-position model. The record is from RNAcentral.